RNAcentral lists this ribosomal RNA (253 nucleotides) under uncultured Eubacteriales bacterium. RNAcentral describes it as "uncultured Clostridiales bacterium partial 16S ribosomal RNA". It matches the Rfam family "Bacterial small subunit ribosomal RNA", at positions 524 to 776 of the family's 1533-position model. Lineage: Bacteria; Bacillati; Bacillota; Clostridia; Eubacteriales. The record is from RNAcentral.
UACGUAGGGGGCAAGCGUUAUCCGGAUUUACUGGGUGUAAAGGGAGCGCAGGCGGCGUGGCAAGUCAGAUGUGAAAACCCGGGGCCCAACCCCGGGAGUGCAUUUGAAACUGCCAUGCUGGAGUGCCGGAGAGGUAAGCGGAAUUCCUAGUGUAGCGGUGAAAUGCGUAGAUAUUAGGAGGAACAUCAGUGGCGAAGGCGACUAUCUGGACAGCAACUGACACUGAGGCACGAAAGCGUGGGGAGCAAACAGG